Molecule: long non-coding RNA, 908 nt
Filed under: Homo sapiens (human)
Lineage: Eukaryota; Metazoa; Chordata; Mammalia; Primates; Hominidae
Description: non-protein coding UCA1:5
Source: RNAcentral
CAUCUCUCCACCAUGCACCUUGUGACUCCCUCCUCUGCUGACAACAGAUAACCACCUUUAACUCCUGUUUAGGUGGUCUUCUAUACGGACAUGCUUGACACUUGGUGCCAAAAUCUGGGCCAGGGGGACUCCUUCGUGAGACCGGCCCCCUGUCCUGGCCCUCAUUCCGUGAAGAGAUCCACCUGCGACCUCGGGUCCUCAGACCAGCCCAAGGAACAUCUCACCAAUUUCAAAUCGGGUAAGUGGUCUCUUCACUCUUUUCUCCAGCCUCUGUCGCUACCCUCCAAUCUCCCUGUCCAGUCUUUUUCUUCUCUAGUAGAGACAAAGGAGACACAUUUUAUCCGUGGACCCAAAACUCUGGCGCUGGUCACAGACUCAGGAAGACAGUCUUCCCUUGGUGUCUAAUCACUGCGGGGACGCCUGCCUAAUUAUUCACCCACAUUCCACUGGUGUCUGAUCACCUUGGGGAUGCCUGCCUUGGUCAUUCACCCACAUUCCCAUGGUGGCAAGUCAUUUGCGGGGACGCCUGCUUUGGCUGCUCACCCCCGCCCUUCUCCGUGUCUCUACUUCUCUCUUUAAACUUACCUCCUUCACUUUGGGCAAUCUUCCGCCCUCCAUUCCUCCCUCUUCCCCCUUAGCCUGUGUACUUAAAAACUUCUCUUAAACUAACACCUGAUAUAAAACUCAAACGUCUUAUUUUCUUCUGCAAUACUGCUUGGCCGCAAUAUAAACUUGACAAUGGUUCCAAGUGGCCAGAAAACGGCACUUUUGAUUUCUCCAUCCUACAAGACCUAGAUCAUUUUUGUCAAAAAAUGGGCACAUGGUCUGAGGUGCCUUGCGUCCAGGCAUUUUUUACACUUCGCUCCCUCCCAAGCCUCUGCUCCCAAUGUGACUCAUCCCAAAUUUUU